AUUGAACGCUGGCGGCAGGCUUAACACAUGCAAGUCGAGCGGGGUGAUGGUGCUUGCACUAUCACUUAGCGGCGGACGGGUGAGUAAUGCUUAGGAAUCUGCCUAUUAGUGGGGGACAACAUCUCGAAAGGGAUGCUAAUACCGCAUACGUCCUACGGGAGAAAGCAGGGGAUCACUUGUGACCUUGCGCUAAUAGAUGAGCCUAAGUCGGAUUAGCUAGUUGGUGGGGUAAAGGCCUACCAAGGCGACGAUCUGUAGCGGGUCUGAGAGGAUGUUCCGCCACACUGGGGCUGAGACGCGGCCCAGGCUCCGACGGGAGGCAGCAGUGGGGAAUAUUGGACAAUGGGCGGAAGCCUGAUCCAGCCAUGCCGCGUGUGUGAAGAAGGCCUUUUGGUUGUAAAGCACUUUAAGCGAGGAGGAGGCUACUAGUAUUAAUACUACUGGAUAGUGGACGUUACUCGCAGAAUAAGCACCGGCUAACUCUGUGCCAGCCGCCGCCGUAA
Molecule: ribosomal RNA, 503 nt
Filed under: uncultured bacterium
Lineage: Bacteria
Description: partial 16S ribosomal RNA
Rfam family: Bacterial small subunit ribosomal RNA
Source: RNAcentral